Acanthosepion pharaonis is the source of this 107-nucleotide non-coding RNA. The record is from the annotation of a GenBank genome assembly. Lineage: Eukaryota; Metazoa; Mollusca; Cephalopoda; Sepiida; Sepiidae.
UAUUACCAGUUUGCAACACAAGUUUUCGUACGAUUACCGAAGUUAAACAACGUCGAGCCUGGUUAGUAUCUAGACGGGUGACUGCUUGGAAAUAACAGGUGCUGUAA